GAUGAACGCUGGCGGCGUGCCUAAUACAUGCAAGUCGAGCGAACGGACGAGAAGCUUGCUUCUCUGAUGUUAGCGGCGGACGGGUGAGUAACACGUGGAUAACCUACCUAUAAGACUGGGAUAACUUCGGGAAACCGGAGCUAAUACCGGAUAAUAUUUUGAACCGCAUGGUUCAAAAGUGAAAGACGGUCUUGCUGUCACUUAUAGAUGGAUCCGCGCUGCAUUAGCUAGUUGGUAAGGUAACGGCUUACCAAGGCAACGAUGCAUAGCCGGCCUGAGAGGGUGAUCGGCCACACUGGAACUGAGACACGGUCCAGACUCCUACGGGAGGCAGCAGUAGGGAAUCUUCCGCAAUGGGCGAAAGCCUGACGGAGCAACGCCGCGUGAGUGACGAAGGUCUUCGGAUCGUAAAACUCUGUUAUUAGGGAAGAACAUAUGUGUAAGUAACUGUGCACAUCUUGACGGUACCUAAUCAGAAAGCCACGGCUAACUACGUG
This 497-nucleotide ribosomal RNA is filed under the name uncultured bacterium. RNAcentral describes it as "partial 16S ribosomal RNA". It matches the Rfam family "Bacterial small subunit ribosomal RNA", at positions 28 to 507 of the family's 1533-position model. The record is from RNAcentral.